CACGGCGCGGCCGCGGCCCCGGAGUGUCCCCGCGGCGUUUGCUCUCGGUGCCCGCUUCCCCCGAGCAGCCUGGCAGGAAGCUGCAGGGAGAUAAAUGCGUUAAAAAUAUGCUGGGAGCGUGCGGCAGCCUGGAGCGAACCGCGGCGAGCCCCGGGGCCACCAGGGACAGGGACAGGAGGGGACAGGGACAGGGACAGGGACAGGAGGGGACAGGGCAGGAGAGGCACGGCAAGGGACUUUUAAAUUGUUUUCUUAUCUCUGCUUGCCAUGAAGCAGUUUUGUGUGAAAUAAGGAAUUGAAUUCUCACAUUUACCAAGUGCUCUCUUUUUGGGGGGACUCUCUCCGGGGCCAAAGCUCUCCUCCUGCAGUCUCCCCACAUUGGGGUGUUUAUAAAACAAGGGGGAUUUUGGAGACCCGAAACUCCUGCGAAGCCACUUUUCCCUUCAACAACCUCGGAAGAGGGAAGAGGGGGAAGCCGCUUUAUGAAGGGCCUGUGGUGAUGUUUCCUUUGCCACCUCUCUGGCAGCUCUGGAGUGGAUUCCCUUCUUCCCCUCCCUUGCUAAACAUCCACCACCCUGCUCUGCAGAAUCCUUGUGCCAGCGAUGGAUGGAAAAGGAUCUGGUGAAGCUUGUGAGCAGUGGAAGCUCAGGGAUGAAGGGAAUGAUGCUGCUGGAAGCCCAGCCUCCUUCAGGAUGAGCUGUCACCUGGACCACAGCAGGGGGACAGUGAUCUCCAGCAGCACUGACCCUGUGCUGGCCUGGAAGUUUGGAUGCACAAUCCCAGGGAAACAGGGCUGGAAGGUGUCCCGUGGCUGUUUUCGCCAGUCCUGCUGCCCUGCUCUGCUCCCACAUUCGGAGCUCAAACACAAGGAGUGUCUCCUGGUGAAUGCAGCCAGGACCAGGGGAGAGGAUUCCUCACUGCCCGCCUGAGGCCUCAGUUCCAGCGUGGUGCUUCAUGUGAGGCAGAGCUUUGUAUGGCCUCGAUUCUGUCCUCUUCAGAAAAUGACAGUCUAGGCAUCAUCAUUUUCUGUGGUGCUGAAAAAAAUUCAAUUUCGAGCCCCAGAUAUUUGCAUCCUCUAAGGCAGUGUCCUAUAAAUCUAGUUACAGGUUCUUCCCUAUUAGCAGUACAUGCUGGAACACUUUUGAAUGUGAACAAUGGUGAUGGAGAAGGAUAAAACCGAAAUAGUGCUCCUGUGGCUUUGUGCAGGGUAGAAUUAGGGAACAUAAUCCAAAUAAUAACAUCUCAUGCUUUUAUGGGGCUGUGUGCAUAUGGCGUAGAUGACAGCUCAUUAAACUUUAUAUCCUGCCUACAAGAUAA
Long non-coding RNA from Passer montanus (Eurasian tree sparrow), 1317 nucleotides. RefSeq lists it as uncharacterized. The record is from RefSeq and is a predicted model, not a curated record. The transcript is spliced from 3 exons. NCBI's taxonomy places the organism in Eukaryota, Metazoa, Chordata, Aves, Passeriformes, Passeridae.